Non-coding RNA from Punica granatum (pomegranate), 2238 nucleotides. Lineage: Eukaryota; Viridiplantae; Streptophyta; Magnoliopsida; Myrtales; Lythraceae. The record is from RefSeq and is a predicted model, not a curated record.
CGAAAAUGAAUUGAAUUGAAUAAAGUAAAAGGGAAAGAGGGCACUGUCCUCGUGAAGCAGCCAACAGUGCCCAAUCCCAAUCCCAAUCCCAAUCCCAAUCCCCACCCCCCAAAGAAAAAGCAAAGCAAAGCAAAGUAAAACCCCCCAUUCCCAACAAUUUCACAAGUAAGGCGGAACCUUUUUCUUGAUCUCUCUCUCUGUAGAAGUCCAUAGAGAGAGAAAGAGAAAGGGACUGAGAGAGCAAUCAUCAAUGGCGGGAGGUGGAGGUGGAGGUGGAGGAGGGUCAGGGAGGCUGCCGACGUGGAAGGAGAGGGAGAACAACAAGAGGAGGGAGAGGAGGAGGAGGGCCAUAGCCGCCAAGAUCUACUCCGGCCUCCGAGCUCAGGGGAACUACAAGCUCCCCAAGCACUGCGACAACAAUGAGGUCCUCAAGGCCCUCUGCGACGAGGCCGGCUGGGUCGUCGAGGAAGACGGCACCACUUAUCGCAAGGGAUGCAAACCGCUGCCAUCCGAACUAGUGGGUGCUUCCACAAACAUCAGUACAUGCUCGUCCAUUCAACCCAGCCCGCAGUCGUCAUCCUUCCCGAGCCCUGUCCCGUCCUACCAUGCAAGCCCGACGUCCUCAUCCUUCCCCAGCCCAUCCCGUUUCGAUGGGAACAACCCGUCUACUUACCUCCUGCCUUUCCUCCGCAACAUCGCGUCCAUUCCCGCUAACCUCCCUCCACUGAGGAUCUCCAACAGUGCCCCGGUAACUCCUCCCCUGUCCUCCCCAACCUCGAGGAGCGGCUCGAAGAGAAAGCCCGACUGGGAGUCCAUCUCAAAUGGGUGCGGGUACCUGAACUCAUUCACCCGCCACCCGACCUUUGCAGCCUCGGCCCCAUCUAGCCCGACCCGGCGCCGGAAUCUGACCCCUCCUACAAUCCCAGAAUGUGAUGAGUCCGAUGCCUCUACCGUGGACUCAGGCCGCUGGGUUACGAGCUUCCAGGGUGCUGGAGCAGCCCCACCUUCUCCGACUUUCAACCUCAUCAAGAAGCCUGCAUGCCAACCAGGGCCACUCCACGACCCGCAUGAGGGAAACGGAGGAGGAUUCAGCUGGGCAUCAGAGUUCGAGUUUGGGAAUAGGAGAGUGACCCCCUGGGAGGGUGAGAGGAUCCACGAGAUAGCAGUCGAUGAUCUCGAGCUCACUCUCGGGAGCAGAAAGGCCCGAGCUUAGUCACAUUCUCAGUGAAAGGAGAAGAAGACUUCAUGAUUAUUUCCCAGCCUUUUAUGGCCAAUGAAGGUUCAUUUCCUGAAGAUUUCUUCGGCCCUGGAGAGCCAUUGGCGGGAUACCCCCAGUACUACAUUCUACGUGAUCCUCUGCCUACACUCAUUUGUACAGUAAUUUUUCGGUUGUAGCUGUCCCCUGGAGCAGACUUCUGUUGCAUCCGACGCCUCUGCAUAAAGAUUCAGAAUUCCGAUGGUAAUUGCUUUAGAUGGUGGGGGAGUAUGUGCAAGACCUGUUGAUAUUUGGAGAUUAACGGUCUUAAUUAAUCUCCUCUACAUGUUUCUCGAACUGUCAUGAAUUUGUUGAUUCCUGUAAUGUAUUUAUCUACUUCCCCAUCUUGGAUUGAGACGAAUGAACUUACAAGAACUACCGCUGUGAUUAUACGGCAGGGCUUGUCUCUCGAGCCACUGUGGGCCGAGUUCUAGUCAAACUUGAAGAUUUUCAGUCCCGGCUGGAUGGGUGGUCAAAUCACAAUCCAAGCAUGCCCAACAAGAACUCGACAAGGCUCUUGUCAAAACUUGGAGUCUUCUGGGCACUUGGGAGCUGUUCUUCCUCAUCUGUGAUCUCUCCCUCUCAGCCCCAUUAAUGAGCACGCGUGACCUUCACUAGAGUACAAGAAGUCCAAGGUACUGCCAAGGGCACACCACCAAACAAAAUCCAAGGGAUUGUGAGGUGGGGGAAUGGCUUAAAUGCAAGACUCCAUCAUCGUUUCUCAUUGUAGGGUCAUUUUCCCCUCUUUUUUGAUGUCAACUUUGAGAGGAAGGGUCGUGUUUCUGUGGUUUGGUUUCUCAUUGGUCGUUCGUGUAGGGGAGUUGUCUCUGUGUGUGUCCCUCUGAUGCAGAACCUGUCCAAUUCGUGGGUCAAAGAUGGAAGAUGGGCAGCCCAUAAGGUUAGGGGUCCCCUCUCCCUACCAUGUGGGGGAUAAAGAGUCCUUUUCGUGGCAUGUCGAGUGAAGUUCUUCCCGCUUUAAUGUU